CAGUAGCCACGGUAAUACGGAGGGAGCUAGCGUUGUUCGGAAUUACUGGGCGUAAAGCGCGCGUAGGCGGUUACUCAAGUCAGAGGUGAAAGCCCGGGGCUCAACCCCGGAACUGCCUUUGAAACUAGGUGACUAGAAUCUUGGAGAGGUCAGUGGAAUUCCGAGUGUAGAGGUGAAAUUCGUAGAUAUUCGGAAGAACACCAGUGGCGAAGGCGACUGACUGGACAAGUAUUGACGCUGAGGUGCGAAAGCGUGGGGAGCAAACAGGAUUAGAUACCCCAGUAGUCCCUGUCUCUUAUAA
RNAcentral lists this ribosomal RNA (301 nucleotides) under uncultured bacterium. RNAcentral's name for it is "partial 16S ribosomal RNA". It matches the Rfam family "Bacterial small subunit ribosomal RNA", at positions 509 to 809 of the family's 1533-position model. The record is from RNAcentral.